Molecule: long non-coding RNA, 2427 nt
Organism: Anthonomus grandis grandis
Lineage: Eukaryota; Metazoa; Arthropoda; Insecta; Coleoptera; Curculionidae
Exons: 2
Source: RefSeq, a predicted model, not a curated record
UUGGAUUUACAUUUGAGGUUAUGUGCCUGGAAUCUUUCUCAAAGUUAUUUGUGGGGUAAUGUAGCAAUGAAUGAUGCCUUCGCUGGCAAGCUCUACAAGAAUGUUUGGAUGUGCAAACAGAUGCAAAAUGACCUGGACGUAGGCAAUUUGUACAUAAUUUUAGACGUUUCGCCUCAUUGUACUUUUCGCUCACAGGAAGUUUGAGGAAUUUCUCACAUGCAUAGACAAAAUGGCUAUCUUUACAAACAGGACAUUUAUUUUCAAAAACGGCAUUGGUGAAUGUCUUAGGUGUACCAUAACUCUUUUGAGGAUUUGGAUCAUGUUUAUUUUGCACUUUAAAAUCAAUUGACUCUAAGAGGUGGCAACGCUCUGUGAGGAAUGUAGUGAGGUUAAGGAUUGAAGGGCUAUCAAAAUUCUUGGAAUAGAUUUCCCAUUCCCUACGUGUAAGUUGGCCAAAUUUUGAGGUAAGUAGAUAUAUUAAGGGUGUGUCCCAGUUAUCCACAUUUUCACCUAGAUUUUUUAAACAUCGAUAAUGUUUUUGAAAGUUAUCUAAGAAUUUGCGUAACUGGAUAUGGCUAUCUUCUUUGAGGGAUGGCAAGCUAAAAAUUGCUUUCAUAUGAGCAUGAAUUAUGGCCCUCUUAUUCUCAUAGCGCUCUUUGAGUAAAUUCCAUGCAACAGCAUAGUUGCCAUCGGUAGCUGUAAGGGAGCUAAUUAUCUGGGCAGCAUCUCCUUUAAGGGCAGACUGGAGAUAGUAAAAUUUUUGCACCUUGGGUAACGAGGGAUUUUUAUCAAUAAGAGCCUCGAAGGUUUCAUGAAACUGGGUUCAUGAUUCGUAAGAACCAGAAAACUCUGGUAUGGAUAAUGGAGGUAAUUUAGUGGAUAAAAUACUAGCCAUAUUAUUUAUAGGGUUGUUGCUGAGCUCAGGGUGAGUCUCAACGGUUAAACCAGGAUUGUUGCUAGCAUUUUUGAGGUUGGUGGCUUGUAAUAUAAGUUUUGCCUUGGAAAUUAUUGAGAAGUAUUUUUCCUCGAAGUCUGAUCUGACCUCAGUCUGAUCUUGAGCAUCAGGCAGUUUGUGCACUAAACAAAUGUCUUCGAUACCCAAUUGAAUUUGUUCAAAUUCCUGCAAAAGGGAAUCAGCAGCUUUAAACCUGGUCUCAAUUUGGACGAGGUCUGAAGGAGUUAAAAGCUCGAGUUGGGGUAAGGCAUUUAAAAAUGUUUGGAAACGAGUUAGAGAGGCUUUCAUGUGACCUCUUUUGUUAAUGAGGAAUUUUAUUUCUGCCUUAGCUUUAUCUAAAAUUUGUUCUGCACUAAGAUUUUCCGUCAUUUUGAUGGUAACUGAGAAAACAAUAAAAAGUUUUGCACUUAUUUACUUAUGCCAAAAAGGAAAAAUUAAAGGUUACAAAUCUUAAAACAACAAUAUAAAAAUUAAUGGGUUAAACAACCAAGGCUAAACCAAAUUUUACAAAACCUGAAAGAGAUUAAAAAACACACCAAAUAAAAUUUAAAUUAAAUUAUUAAAUUUUAUCAUCAAUAGUUUAGUAGGCUGGAUACAAAUAUUUUGUUUUUAAGGCUAUAUAUGCAAAAAUCUAUUUAAAAUGCAUAACUCAAUUCUUAGAAGGGUGAAUAUGAGAAUUUUAAUCUUAAAAACAUAUAAGUUUAAAUCAAAAAAAAUAAGGUUUAGAGCUAAAAAUGUAGUUUAUAAUAUGUCAGAUAGGUUUUUAGGGUUGAAAGAUUUAGUUUAUUAAGGGUUAUAUAAACUCUACAUUAAAUUAUGGUUGCAUUUAUUGAACUAGGUUAAAAUAUAAAUAUAGGUUUCAAGUAAAAAUCCACAAAACAGCUUAAUUACUGUAGGUUACGAAGGUUAAAAUGUAAAUAGAAAAUAAAAACCAAACUAUAUAGGUGUAAUUAAAACCAACUUGCACAAAUCUUAGCUUAAUUUGAACAAAACAGCUUAUCAAAAACGUUAAGGUAACGUUUUGGAAGUCAGGAUGACCCUAGGUUUACUGCUGGCUUUAAUUACUUGGGUUAUAAUUGACUAACCUUUAAUUAUUGACUUGUUUUCCUGCUACUAGGAACACUGAUUGCUGGAACAUCGACGAAAAUACACUAAAUAUGGGUCGCACUACCAUAUUUUCCACAUCAGGCACGAAGGAUCAAAAUUUUAUGUUAGGUUCCACCCUAUUUGAUUAGGGAUUACGUCGGGUGUUCGACUUGUAGACAGAAAAAGAAAGUCGUGUAAUUGGUUACGAGAAAUUAAUUUAUUCUCCUAAACUUUAACUGGUUAAUCGCGGCAAUCUCUGAUUUUACACUUUACUUUAUAUACAACUAUUUAUAUUUUAUGGAUUUUUAUAAAAGAGCGCGGAGCCCGGUACAUAUCUAAUAUGCAACCACCUGAUCUAACAUAUCGCAAAGACAACUCUCCAACGA